RNAcentral lists this long non-coding RNA (349 nucleotides) under Nicotiana benthamiana. RNAcentral's name for it is "long non-coding RNA (NBEN_LNC038438)". The record is from RNAcentral. Lineage: Eukaryota; Viridiplantae; Streptophyta; Magnoliopsida; Solanales; Solanaceae.
GCUCUUUGAAUCAUGCAUGAAGAGCGGAUUGUACGACUCAGCCAAACCUCUCCUUGAAACAUACGUGAACUCUGCUGCCAAGGUUGACCUCAUUCUUUACACUUCAAUUCUUGCCCAUUUAGUAAGAUGUCAAGAUGAAAACGAUGAAAGGCAUUUAAUGUUGAUCUUGAGUGCUACGAAACAUAAGGCUCACACUUUCAUGUGUGGGCUCAGAUGAAAACGAUGAGAGGCAUUUAAUGUCGAUCUUGAGUGCUACGAAACAUAAGGCUCACACUUUCAUGUGUGGGCUCUUUACUGGGCCAGAGCAGAGGAAACAGCCAGUUUUAUCUUUUGUGAGGGAAUUCUUCCA